CANACCUCUGAUCANAAAAGACUACCCGCUGAGUUUAAGCAUAUCACUAAGCGGAGGAGAAGAAACUAACCAGGAUUUCCCUAGUAAUGGCGAACGACCGGAAAGAGCCCAGCUUGAAAAUUUCGGCGCUUCGCGCCGAAAGUU
RNAcentral lists this ribosomal RNA (144 nucleotides) under Didymodon nigrescens. RNAcentral describes it as "partial 28S ribosomal RNA". It matches the Rfam family "Eukaryotic large subunit ribosomal RNA", at positions 1 to 144 of the family's 3401-position model. Lineage: Eukaryota; Viridiplantae; Streptophyta; Bryopsida; Pottiales; Pottiaceae. The record is from RNAcentral.